This 253-nucleotide ribosomal RNA is filed under the name uncultured bacterium. Its description in RNAcentral is "partial 16S ribosomal RNA". It matches the Rfam family "Bacterial small subunit ribosomal RNA", at positions 524 to 776 of the family's 1533-position model. The record is from RNAcentral.
UACGUAGGGUGCGAGCGUUAUUCGGAAUUACUGGGCGUAAAGCGUGCGCAGGCGGUUUUGUAAGUCAGAUGUGAAAUCCCCGGGCUCAACCUGGGAAUGGCAUUUGGGACUGCAAGGCUUGAGUGCGGCAGAGGAGACUGGAAUUCCUGGUGUAGCAGUGAAAUGCGUAGAUAUCAGGAAGAACACCUAUGGCGAAGGCAGCUCUCUGGGACGGUACUGACGCUGAGACGCGAAAGCGUGGGGAGCGAACAGG